Molecule: ribosomal RNA, 656 nt
Filed under: uncultured Clavibacter sp.
Lineage: Bacteria; Bacillati; Actinomycetota; Actinomycetes; Micrococcales; Microbacteriaceae
Description: bacterial SSU rRNA
Rfam family: Bacterial small subunit ribosomal RNA
Source: RNAcentral
GGAACUAGAUGUGGGGACCAUUCCACGGUCUCCGUGUCGCAGCUAACGCAUUAAGUUCCCCGCCUGGGGAGUACGGCCGCAAGGCUAAAACUCAAAGGAAUUGACGGGGGCCCGCACAAGCGGCGGAGCAUGCGGAUUAAUUCGAUGCAACGCGAAGAACCUUACCAAGGCUUGACAUAUACCGGAAACAUGCAGAGAUGUGUGCCCCGCAAGGUCGGUAUACAGGUGGUGCAUGGUUGUCGUCAGCUCGUGUCGUGAGAUGUUGGGUUAAGUCCCGCAACGAGCGCAACCCUCGUUCUAUGUUGCCAGCACGUAAUGGUGGGAACUCAUAGGAGACUGCCGGGGUCAACUCGGAGGAAGGUGGGGAUGACGUCAAAUCAUCAUGCCCCUUAUGUCUUGGGCUUCACGCAUGCUACAAUGGCCGGUACAAAGGGCUGCGAUACCGUAAGGUGGAGCGAAUCCCAAAAAGCCGGUCUCAGUUCGGAUUGAGGUCUGCAACUCGACCUCAUGAAGUCGGAGUCGCUAGUAAUCGCAGAUCAACAACGCUGCGGUGAAUACGUUCCCGGGCCUUGUACACACCGCCCGUCAAGUCAUGAAAGUCGGUAACACCCGAAGCCAGUGGCCUAACCGCAAGGAAGGAGCUGUCGAAGGUGGGA